Tetranychus urticae (two-spotted spider mite) is the source of this 2836-nucleotide long non-coding RNA. RefSeq lists it as uncharacterized. The record is from RefSeq and is a predicted model, not a curated record. Lineage: Eukaryota; Metazoa; Arthropoda; Arachnida; Trombidiformes; Tetranychidae.
UAAGAACCAGGAGGAAAGCCAAAAAGAGAGAGAGAGGUCAACCCUCGCAAAGAAUCGUAGUUACAACCAACAACAAACCGGUUUAACAUCUAGUCUCGAAACAAGUCAUCAUCAACAUCAUCAUAACCAUCCAGCAUUUGUUUUGUUUUGACGAAACACGAUAAUUGGUUACCAGAAGAUUACCAGAAGACUGUUUAAAGAUUUUCAGAAGGUAACCAGUAGAUUACUAGAAGAUUACCAGAAGAUUACCAGAUAACCAGAAGAUUUGCGGAAGAUGACCAGAAAAAUAACCAGUUGCUUACCAUAUGAGAAUCAGAAGGUAACCAGAAAUUAACAACGCCGUUUAGCAUAAAUUAACCAUUUUAAGGGGAAACAAAACGUUGAUUGAUCAACAAACAAGCAGGCAGCAAAACAGGACCGAGAUUAAGUUGAAGAUUAUAUUCACAAACACGCAUCACCUUUAACCUAAAGUCUUUACUUUUUGGCACAUUAAUGGUACCCAAAUUUUGCUUUGUUUGUGUAUCAAAAGUGUAAAAGGAUGAAAAGACAACCAUCUUCAACCUACACGGACACUUGCAUCUCACUCAAUGGUGAUCCUGCCUGUUAAAUAUACUGACCGAUAUAUGCUCAAGGUCAAUUUGAUACUCAGAUUACCAAAGUUAACUCAAGAAUCACCAUCAUCAUUAGGAAAGGAGCGAAGAUCAUCAUGAUAGUCAUAAUCAUGAUUAUUGCUGUUGUUAUUUUCAAGCUAAACCAAGUUGUAUCAGUUCAUUUGAUAACUUUGAGAAAAGAAGAAAAAUUUUAGUGAGAAAUCCUUUUCGUCCAUAUAAAUCAUGUUGAGUUAUUUUAAGAUGAAAAGCAUGACCAAAUCCAUAAAGUCAUCGCCACCACCACCACCAUUAUCAACAGCAAUUGGUCAACAACAAUGAUGAAUAUGACACUAGAAUGGUAACGAUAUUAGAAUGGGUCAACAAUAUAAUAGAUACAACAAUAGACGAUUACAGAUGUGACCAAGUCUCGAAUAUGGUACCCUUAAUGAAUGAAUAACCAUUAAACUGAUUGGUAUCAUCAUGAUCAGUUAAUUUUACUGGAUCGUUAUUAUUAUCAUUAUCAUCAUCAUCAUCAUCAGAUCUACUUUGACAAAAGGAUAACAAGAAAGGAAAUGAAAAGCAAUGAAAAAGGAAAAGAAGAAAGCGGCCUCAUCCCGAUUCCAAAUAAUUUGAUAAAAAUGGACACAGGCUACCGAUUCAGAACAAAAAUGGCCUUCUCUAUACAAGUCUAAUUAUCUGAUUCAUCUAUUUGAGAAGAUUCCGAAGGAGAAGAAGAAUGAGAAAAGAAUAAUGAACAUCAUCAUCAGCAACUGCUUCAAACUCAAAGAAGGUGUAAAAGGAUUUCAUGUUGGUGAUAAUGCUAUAAAACUCAGGAGAGAUGAAACGCGACUAGACUUUAAAUCGAUAAUGAUUAAAACAAGUUUCAAGGUUUUCUAACAUCUUUUUGUUACUUAGCUUCUGGGUCAAUCUGAUGCGCUUCAGAAACUUUUUUUCAUCUACAAAUCAAUGAAGGGAAACCACGUUAUUUAAAAUAGAUCAAAGGCUUUAAAAAGGAGAAACAAAUUAUUGGUACAAAAAAAGAACGGAAUAAAUCUUUGUUUCCAAUGUGAACUUGAUUAAUCGUCCAAUCAACCGUUUAUCAACAAACCAAUGGUCCAUUUCACCAUUACUCUAUUCACUACAUGAUUUAUUCACCAUCAUCAUCAUUCACAUUUGGUGAAAUGGUUAAAAUGAGAUAUUACUGUUGAAUUCACUCCUGAUAAUCAACUGGUUGCAACUUGAAACUCACAUUGGAAUCAACGGGAAAAGCCAUGGAACCAUCUGCUGACCCAUUCUACUGGAACCUUCAAUGAGAGAAAUUGGGAAAUACGAAAAACAUGGAAAAUGUUCAAAGAGAUUUAAAUUGAAUUGAUUGAUAGAUUCAAAGUAAAUUAAUAAAUAAUAAUCAAGAAUUUCCGAUGCAAGGUUACUUCGUGAUAUAAGGAUCAAUGUAAUCAACUUGGUCUGCUCUAGCGCCAUUUUGUGUGUGGGUUAGGUGUGGAUGUGAAUGUAACUCUUGGUAAAGAUACAUUCAAGUGGCCAAAUGUAAUAAAAUAACCUUGAUUUUGCUGGCUUUUGCUGAAUGGAUCGCUGAUAAUUGGAAUGGCUACUGAAAGAUAGAUUUAAUAGUUGUAAUAGUAAUAAAAAUUACUAUUAUUAUCAAACGAUACUAACAUUGCAAGAUGCAAAAAAUAUUGGGUGGUGUAAAACGGAUAAUGAUAACAAUUAAGGAAUUUGAAUCCCAUGAAAGGAAAAUUCAAAAUGUGAUAAAAUUCUGGGAUACACAAAAAGAUUUAAACCGUUCGAUGCAAAUCAACUCAAUUGGAUGUUAACCAACCUUUAAACUUAAUCAUUGGCAUUAGUAAACAGUGAAAUGGAUAACCGAUCUCUCAACAAUUUCCGAGUCAACAGUAAAAUUUUCUAACCGAGAUAAUUGAUUAUUUUUCAAGAAUACCAGACUAUCAACUGAUUACUUUGAUGAAACAGCUUUCUCCUGUUCAACAAAGCUUGCAGUUUAAUCCACUCAGUAUUAGACUGAUUGAAAUCUCAAUCUUUAAUGAGUUGCUGGUAAUCCUAAUAAUGUGUAAUCCAAGAUAUCAUGUUACUGCAGUUAAACGCCAUUACUGACUGCUCAAUGAAUAUUUGUUUCAUUUUGUGGUUUGUCAUUCAAAAUGAUUAUCUGUCACAUUUUGACUUGAUCAAUUCAAUAAACAUAUCUUUAUAUUUACUUCAAUUAUCAAGAAACC